ACGAACGCUGGCGGCGCGCCUCACACAUGCAAGUCGAACGAGCGAGAGAGAGCUUGCUUUCUCGAGCGAGUGGCGAACGGGUGAGUAACGCGUGAGGAACCUGCCUCAAAGAGGGGGACAACAGUUGGAAACGACUGCUAAUACCGCAUAAGCCCACGGUGCCGCAUGGCACAGAGGGAAAAGGAGCAAUCCGCUUUGAGAUGGCCUCGCGUCCGAUUAGCUAGUUGGUGAGGUAAUGGCCCACCAAGGCGACGAUCGGUAGCCGGACUGAGAGGUUGAACGGCCACAUUGGGACUGAGACACGGCCCAGACUCCUACGGGAGGCAGCAGUGGGGAAUAUUGCACAAUGGGGGAAACCCUGAUGCAGCGACGCCGCGUGGAGGAAGAAGGUCUUCGGAUUGUAAACUCCUGUUGUUGGGGAAGAUAAUGACGGUACCCAACAAGGAAGUGACGGCUAACUACGU
Molecule: ribosomal RNA, 464 nt
Filed under: uncultured bacterium
Lineage: Bacteria
Description: partial 16S ribosomal RNA
Rfam family: Bacterial small subunit ribosomal RNA
Source: RNAcentral